Myzus persicae (green peach aphid) is the source of this 461-nucleotide long non-coding RNA. RefSeq lists it as uncharacterized. Lineage: Eukaryota; Metazoa; Arthropoda; Insecta; Hemiptera; Aphididae. The transcript has 2 exons. The record is from RefSeq and is a predicted model, not a curated record.
AUUGUUCAUAUUUAAUUUCAUUAUUAAUUUGUUUUUAAUAAUGUAAGACUAAGUGGAGCUAAGCGCUAAAUGUACCUAUUGGUUUUACAAUGAAAUGUGUUUAUUUAGUUUAUUUACUAUUGUAAUGGUGUGGAACACCAUUCUAGUUUUCAUAUUUUUAUACUUAUAAUAUUACGUAUAGUAUAAUAUACUAUACAUAUUAUAUCAUAGACGCGCUUAUCAUCUUGCAUUCAUUCUAUAAUAUCAUGGAGUAAAGCUAUAUGUAUAACUAUUUUGUAUAGUAAACAAAAUGUAUAAUAAUCUUUCGGCCUGCUAGACAUACGUCAGCCGAACUAGUGUGGUUUCACCACUUGCUCCGUGUAUUGUUGCCGUCAGGUCAUCGCCAUGCAGAAGAAAACAACAUACCUACAAUCAAAUCCAAUUUUGAUUCAAAUAAAGAAUAUAAAUUCAUUAAUCAAAGG